RNAcentral lists this ribosomal RNA (290 nucleotides) under Staphylococcus aureus. RNAcentral's name for it is "partial 16S ribosomal RNA". It matches the Rfam family "Bacterial small subunit ribosomal RNA", at positions 1 to 279 of the family's 1533-position model. The record is from RNAcentral. Lineage: Bacteria; Bacillati; Bacillota; Bacilli; Caryophanales; Staphylococcaceae.
UUUUAUGGAGAGUUUGAUCCUGGCUCAGGAUGAACGCUGGCGGCGUGCCUAAUACAUGCAAGUCGAGCGAACGGACGAGAAGCUUGCUUCUCUGAUGUUAGCGGCGGACGGGUGAGUAACACGUGGAUAACCUACCUAUAAGACUGGGAUAACUUCGGGAAACCGGAGCUAAUACCGGAUAAUAUUUUGAACCGCAUGGUUCAAAAGUAAAAGACGGUCUUGCUGUCACUUAUAGAUGGAUCCGCGCUGCAUUAGCUAGUUGGUAAGGUAACGGCUUACCAAGGCAACGA